UAACUGUUCGCCAGGGUAGAGUCUUUUCUUUUUUCUUUUUUAUUACUUUUGCUUUUGUUCUCCAUAGUACGGUUCAGGGAGAUACUAGGGGCAGGUCGGUAGGGAGAUCCGAAGGUAGUAGUUUCGUCAACGUCAACGGUCCGGUGUCCCUCUACCUCCACCGCCACCACCCGCGGCACCACCCGCGGCACCACUGGUUGGAGCACAGGUUCGAGAGCCGCCACUAUCUGUUCUCUAAGUCGCUCAAGCCACUGGAACUUCUGCUGUAGUCCAUAGACUUUUGGCUCGAGCGGUAAUAACGACGAUUUUAGCUGCUGGUCGUGUUCCCCGUCGUCGGAUCACAGAACGUCUUGUAUAGGUGGCGUCUGUACGCGCUAAACCGUAAGCUGUAGCUCCUAACGGAGCUGGUCAAGGAAGGGACACGGCGCACGUUCGCUCCCCGGCACAGUUUUCCGCUGAAUCACCUGAAACGGUAAGUCCAACCCUUUGAGUUCUUCGCCGACCUCUCCCGGUUCGUCGUCUCUUGGCUAUUACCACGGUUGCCGUCGGUCGUUCGGUAGCUGGAACGACUGGUUAACGAACGAUAAGAUCGACUCGGACGUCUAGUCCACCCGUAGCUCCUUGGGUUCGUCCUCUAGGACCCAAACGAGCCAUCACUCUUCGAGGACCACUAUAGGUAGCAGCCCAAACCGCCGAGCCCGUUCUGGGUUGAGCGUUCCCGCCACAAGCUGACGCUACUUCGGUUUCUCUUCAAGCCACGGGCACGGACCGUAUGCCGUAGCCUCGUGUUUCUACCCGAACUCGAGAACGAGCGCUAUGACGUCUUUGAAAAAGGUUUUCUUUGAGAUGAUAGGCACAGUGUUUACGUUUCAGUUCAGAGCUCCAACGUUGUUGCAUAGUCUAAACUUUUCUGGUCCACAAAUUAACAUCAACUACUAUAGCUCUUCGUAGUAACCCUUCGUUAUUUCUCAAAGAAAAGACUCUGUUCCUAUUAGUCUUAUGAUCACUGGUGUUGACACGUCUGUCAUCGGUUUCGUACGUGGUUUCUAGUGCCAAUAUAAAUGUUAUACUCUUGAGAAUCACAUCCUCUGAGAUUCCUAAAUGAUUUCUUCACCCAACCACUAAAGUUAUCUUUAAGUUGACUGAACCUCCUACCAAGUCGACGUUAACAAGCGUUUACGGUACCGGUAGGUGAUCGAGAGUAGUCACACCGGUUGAUAAACAAUGUUGUUCUCGUCUAAUGUCCUCGUCAGACGGUUUUAUGGUCGUCCGAGGAUACAUGAGUAUACCUGCUCUUGUUCGUACCUCUGAAGUGUUUUGAAGCUGUCUAAGACCACUUAUUAAUAUAGUUAAACGGAAAGGUAGAGUUCUGUACAAACGACAUGUGUUCAAAUAAGGGUUUACUAGCAGGACAGUCGUGCUUUUGAGAAUGGUCGGCUACCAAUCGGCUUCCUAUGUAUUUCGCACUCUGACUUGCGUGAAUGGUCCUCAGACGGCUACUUUUCAACCUCGUUGACUACCUGUCCUUAUAGUAAGCCGGCCAGCUAUGUUCGUUGGCACCUCUUUUCUUCUGUACGUUUGGAGUGCCAUAGUACGUGGUCAAGUACGACAUAUUCAGGUAGAGAAGCUUAAAACAACGGGGUAGGGAACUCUUGGCUCCGUUAAAAGCAGUGUAGUACUACCUAUUGGUUUCUUUAUCUUCUCUUUGGUUGUACCUAGUACCACGGCGGCCAGGUCGACGUGUAGCGGGGUUGGUUGGUUUUUUGAAGAAAUCCAAGAACUUUGGUAGAUUCUCAUGUCAUAGGUCACUCCUGGACGCAGGGGCCAGAGAUUGUCAGAAACCUUCACGUCUUCUUCGACAAAUAAGCCUAAACUAGUUGACAUUCGACGACUUUCACAACCUAGAUUUUCUCACGUUAUUAAACGCCCUGUUUGUAUAGUUCUUGUAUAUGUUCGACAACGUAGAGUUUAUAGACUGGGAGCCCUCGAGACAAUCCUCUGAAAGUCUACUUUAUCCUUUAGAUGUAACAAACCUCUGUGAGCUGAACUCCUUCUGGUUCUAUCUUUGUGAUGGACACCUUCAGUAGUCAGACGGGGUGGAUCGUGUGGACAAGCCUUUCUAAUUCGAAUUGUUCAACUCAUCUUUCUUCGAACUGUUCAAUGACAGUCCUCUUACGUUGAACCUCUGAGAUAGUCCUCAACAACACCUUUCCUUGAGGGGUAAGGGACUUAACUACCUUGCAUACUUUUUUGACUGUUUCCACUUCUAUACCACGCACUAAUGGUCGUGUCUACCCUUAAUGUGGUUUGAGAGUCUACGGUAAGCGUUCAAACGAGUCCGACCGUACCUAUGAAGUGUUCUGCGGGCAAGAGAUAGUGAAGUAGAAUUACCAAGAAGGUUUCUAGAUCAAGUCGAGUCGUGCUGUAGUUCUGUCCGACCCAGUCGAGGGGACCAAAAAAUAGAAUCGAGUGACUUUGACGUGCCGUCCGACUCAGUGAAGUUUCUCAAACGAUUCCGGGACAGACCAGAGUCCCUUAACACGGAAUGUACAUGAUUAGACCUCCCCGGACAAGAAGAUCGUACAGAUGCACUCGAUACCACGGACCAAAUAGAGUUUGACCAACUUCUGGCAGAACUACUAAAUCUGUAUUUGGAACUACCACUAGAGCGUUCGGACGUUGCGGAUACGUAACACCACUUUGUUAGGUUUAAGGGGUGUUAACGUGUUCCUCGAAACGGUCCAGAGCAAAGUGAAGUGUACGAGACGUUUCUAGAUCACCCAGAAACACUACUGUAGUUUCACCUUACAAAGUCUCUAGAAGCACUUCAGCGAGACCUGAGACUCCAGUUAGUUCCUUGGUAACUUGAGACCCUUUUAUUUCGAUUCCUCGUGGGAUUCUCCGGUUUCCAAGACAACGAGUUUUCCCAACUCCGUCGGCUGUGGACCAGACGCCGCUUUAUACAACGGUGACUAGUCUCUGGGAGGUACGAAGACCACGUCCCCUGCGGCACUAGGGAAGAAGACAUACGGUUCUACGACUUCACUUCUAACGAUACACCACGAUGAAGAUUCAACUACCAAACUUCUAUUUUAUUUUCCUCCUACUGACUUCGUUUGUUCGCGCGCAGACGGUCUCGUGGAGCACCAGAGGCACCUUGCUCGGACCACCCUUAUUUGUGUUCGUGGACGUCCCGCGCCCGUCUCGUCUGCUCUCGACUGGAGGAACACUCACCGCGAACGAAGGUCGGCUGCCUCCUCUCCCGCCGCCUCGUUAGUACGGCCGACCCCUCGUCUCGUCGAACUUAUGCUCCGCAGAAGCAGGAACGGGCGGCAGUCAGAGGAGCCGCGGCGGCGGGGGGGCACCAGCCCUCGUCUCUUCUCGUCUCCUCCUUCCUUAUCACACACGCUAUCACCCGGUAAAGCCACUACAAUGACAAGUUCCCGGUCCCAUGUACCCGGACCGGCCGACCAGGGUAAAAGGGGAACAAUUUUUGUUAAUUUCCUGAGUUAAGUUUUAAGCUUCAAAUUUUUUUAGUUAUAAGAG
This 3546-nucleotide ribosomal RNA is filed under the name Triticum aestivum (bread wheat). Its description in RNAcentral is "partial small subunit ribosomal RNA". The record is from RNAcentral. Lineage: Eukaryota; Viridiplantae; Streptophyta; Magnoliopsida; Poales; Poaceae.